Molecule: transfer RNA, 68 nt
Filed under: marine eukaryotic metagenome
Rfam family: tRNA
About the family: Transfer RNA (tRNA) molecules are approximately 80 nucleotides in length. Their secondary structure includes four short double-helical elements and three loops (D, anti-codon, and T loops).
Source: RNAcentral
GGCUUAGCUCAGUUGGUAGAGCGGCUGAUUUGUAAUCAGUAGGUCGGGAGUUCAAAUCUCUCAGCCGG